RNAcentral lists this ribosomal RNA (1173 nucleotides) under uncultured Bacteroides sp. RNAcentral describes it as "bacterial SSU rRNA". It matches the Rfam family "Bacterial small subunit ribosomal RNA", at positions 10 to 1177 of the family's 1533-position model. The record is from RNAcentral. Lineage: Bacteria; Pseudomonadati; Bacteroidota; Bacteroidia; Bacteroidales; Bacteroidaceae.
AGUUUGAUCCUGGCUCAGGAUGAACGCUAGCUACAGGCUUAACACAUGCAAGUCGAGGGGCAGCAUUUUAGUUUGCUUGCAAACUAAAGAUGGCGACCGGCGCACGGGUGAGUAACACGUAUCCAACCUGCCGAUAACUCGGGGAUAGCCUUUCGAAAGAAAGAUUAAUAUCCGAUAGUAUAUUAAAACCGCAUGGUUUUACUAUUAAAGAAUUUCGGUUAUCGAUGGGGAUGCGUUCCAUUAGUUUGUUGGCGGGGUAACGGCCCACCAAGACUACGAUGGAUAGGGGUUCUGAGAGGAAGGUCCCCCACAUUGGAACUGAGACACGGUCCAAACUCCUACGGGAGGCAGCAGUGAGGAAUAUUGGUCAAUGGACGAGAGUCUGAACCAGCCAAGUAGCGUGAAGGAUGACUGCCCUAUGGGUUGUAAACUUCUUUUAUAUGGGAAUAAAGUAUUCCACGUGUGGAAUUUUGUAUGUACCAUAUGAAUAAGGAUCGGCUAACUCCGUGCCAGCAGCCGCGGUAAUACGGAGGAUCCGAGCGUUAUCCGGAUUUAUUGGGUUUAAAGGGAGCGUAGGUGGAUUGUUAAGUCAGUUGUGAAAGUUUGCGGCUCAACCGUAAAAUUGCAGUUGAAACUGGCAGUCUUGAGUACAGUAGAGGUGGGCGGAAUUCGUGGUGUAGCGGUGAAAUGCUUAGAUAUCACGAAGAACUCCGAUUGCGAAGGCAGCUCACUAGACUGUCACUGACACUGAUGCUCGAAAGUGUGGGUAUCAAACAGGAUUAGAUACCCUGGUAGUCCACACAGUAAACGAUGAAUACUCGCUGUUUGCGAUAUACAGUAAGCGGCCAAGCGAAAGCAUUAAGUAUUCCACCUGGGGAGUACGCCGGCAACGGUGAAACUCAAAGGAAUUGACGGGGGCCCGCACAAGCGGAGGAACAUGUGGUUUAAUUCGAUGAUACGCGAGGAACCUUACCCGGGCUUAAAUUGCAUUUGAAUAAUCUGGAAACAGGUUAGCCGCAAGGCAAAUGUGAAGGUGCUGCAUGGUUGUCGUCAGCUCGUGCCGUGAGGUGUCGGCUUAAGUGCCAUAACGAGCGCAACCCUUAUCUUUAGUUACUAACAGGUCAUGCUGAGGACUCUAGAGAGACUGCCGUCGUAAGAUGUGAGGAAGGUGGA